UACGAAGGGGGCUAGCGUUGCUCGGAAUCACUGGGCGUAAAGGGUGCGUAGGCGGGUCUUUAAGUCAGGGGUGAAAUCCUGGAGCUCAACUCCAGAACUGCCUUUGAUACUGAGGAUCUUGAGUUCGGGAGAGGUGAGUGGAACUGCGAGUGUAGAGGUGAAAUUCGUAGAUAUUCGCAAGAACACCAGUGGCGAAGGCGGCUCACUGGCCCGAUACUGACGCUGAUGCGCGAAAGCUAGGGGAGCAAACGGG
This 253-nucleotide ribosomal RNA is filed under the name uncultured bacterium. RNAcentral describes it as "partial 16S ribosomal RNA". It matches the Rfam family "Bacterial small subunit ribosomal RNA", at positions 524 to 776 of the family's 1533-position model. The record is from RNAcentral.